AGGGAGACAGAGACCCGGAGUGGGGUGGGGGGACAGAGACCUAGAGACAGAGAAGCAACAGAGGCCCAAAGGUAGUAGGGGUACAAGACCUGCUUCAGCAGAAAUAGAAUUACGUGUGUGUGUGUGUGUGUGUGUGUGUGUGUGUGUUUGACUGGACAAUGUACAUAUUGCAGAGAGCAUAGCUGAGCCAGAAGCUUAGUCACAAGGGCCAGGGAGACAGCAUAAUGGUUCUGCAAGAGACUUUCUUUCUUUUUUGCCUCCAGGGUUACCACUGCGGCUUAGUGCCUGCACUACAAAUCGACUGCUCCUGGUGGCCAUUUUCCCCAUUUUGUUGCCCUUGUUGUUAUUGUUGGACAGGACAGAGAGAAAUGGAGAGAGGAGGGGAAGACAGAGAAGGGGAGAGAAAGACAGACACCUGCAGACCUGCUUCACCUGCAGGUGGGGAGCUGGGGGCUUGAACCGGGAUCCUUAUGCCUGUCCUUGUGCUUCAUGCCACGUGCGCGUAGCCUGCUGCGCUACUGCCUGGCCCCCCUCUGCAAAACUUUUUCAUGCUUGGGGCUCUGAGGUCCCAGGUUGAAUUUCCAGCACCAUCAUAAACCAGAGCUGAGCAGUGCUCUGGUCUAGAAGGAAAAAAAAGAAGGGCUGGCUGGGUGGUCGCACAUCUGGUUGAAUGCAUGUUACAAUGCACAAGGACCCUGGCUCUAGCCCCCAGUCCCCACCUGCGGGGGAAAGCUUUGCGAGUGGUCUCUCCGUCUCUCUCCCUCCCUAUCACUCCCUUGCCACUUGACUUCUGGCUGUCUCUAUCCAAUAAAGAAAGAUAAUAAAAAAAUAAUUUAAAAAAAAAAAGAAGAAAGAACUUAGUCAGAAGACAAUAAUACAGGCAACCUCUGAAGAUACUAGGGACAGUAACCCCGUGUCCUUUGGACUCCAGGAGGAUGAAAUAAACGUUGACUGUCCACACUGCCAGGUCCCUACAUUCACCUCAAGUGGUUGCCAGAAAACUGCACCUUGUGACGCGGCAACUCCGGGAAUAUGUAGGGAGACCACCUGGGACAGCAACAAGACAGGACUAGAAUGACUUUGGGAACCCACCAAAUCACCAGACCUCCAGACACCACAACUCUGCCCAGACCUCCAGCUCUACCCAGUUGAGAAACUUCUCUAAAGAACAAGGAAUAUCAAAGAUCACCUGAGACUGCAACAAGACGAGACCGGGACUAGUUUGGGAGCUCACCAAGUCACCGUCACAUGUCUGCUCCACCCCGCCGCCACCACCUAGGCCCUGGCAGGGGUCUGAUUACUGACUUGUCGCCAGAGGACUGCUCUGCUCAACUCUUGCUUAUGGUAGUGCUGAGGAUCGGAUCUGGAACCUCAGGGGCUUCAGGUAUGAACAUCUUUUUCUAAGUGGGGAGGUAGGGAGAGGAGGGGAGAGGGAGAGAGAGGCAGGGAAGGGGAAAGGAAGAAGACACGGGUAGCAUGGCUUCACCACGUGAAGCUCCCCCCACCCCCGCAGGUUGGGGAUAUGGGGCUUGAACCCAGGGCCUCAUGUAAUGGUAAUGUGUGUAUUCAACCAGGUGCACCACAGCCCCGACUCCCACAGUAAAACUCUUUUUGAGCAUUCCCAGAUACAAAACUGUAACUCACGUGGUCCGGGAGGUGGCACAGUGGCUAAGGAACUAGACUCUCAAGCGUGAGGUUCUGAGUUCAAUCCCCGGCAACACAUGUACCACAGUGAUGUCUGGCUCUUUCUCUCUCUCCUCCUAUCUUUCUUUUAAUAAGAUAAGUAAAAUCUUUAAAAGAAAAAAAAAAAACAAAAAACUAGAACUCACUAGAUAGAAAUCCCUAUUUUUCAGAGCGCAGGGGAGUCCUGGUCCUUGCACGGAUCAUCUUUAACUCAUAACUCCCAUCACCUCAGUGCUCAGUCAGUCAGCUCGGUCCUCGCCAUUCCCCACCACCAUGGCCCCCGGGCACCGGGGCUCGGCCCCUCACCACUGCGUCCUGAUCAGCUCUGCUGGCCCCGUCAGCAAAUGAAGCAGCAGUGCCCACAGCCGGCUCUCAGUUCUCUCCGUGUGACUGGCCCAGGACUCCCCAGACCUCAGGGCGUGUGUGCUGGGGGGGGAACACCUCCCCAGGCCCAGAGCCCCGCAGGUGCCCACC
Long non-coding RNA from Erinaceus europaeus (western European hedgehog), 2157 nucleotides. RefSeq lists it as uncharacterized. NCBI's taxonomy places the organism in Eukaryota, Metazoa, Chordata, Mammalia, Eulipotyphla, Erinaceidae. The record is from RefSeq and is a predicted model, not a curated record. The transcript has 3 exons.